CAGAAAGUAGUUUAGAGAUAAAACGCCAGCUUUGGGAGUUGGAGAUAGAGGUUUAAGUCCUCUUUUUUUGA
RNAcentral lists this transfer RNA (71 nucleotides) under Trogon personatus. RNAcentral's name for it is "tRNA-Pro". It matches the Rfam family "tRNA". Rfam says of the family: Transfer RNA (tRNA) molecules are approximately 80 nucleotides in length. Lineage: Eukaryota; Metazoa; Chordata; Aves; Trogoniformes; Trogonidae. The record is from RNAcentral.